UACGGAGGGUGCAAGCGUUAUCCGGAUUUACUGGGCUUAAAGGGUGCGUAGGCGGGUUGGUAAGUCAGCGGUGAAAUCUUCGAGCUUAACUCGGAAACUGCCAUUGAUACUAUCAAUCUUGAAUCAUCUAGAGGUAAGCGGAAUAUGUCAUGUAGCGGUGAAAUGCUUAGAUAUGACAUGGAACACCAAUUGCGAAGGCAGCUUACUAUGGAAGCAUUGACACUGGGGCACGAAAGCGUGGGGAUCAAACAGG
This 253-nucleotide ribosomal RNA is filed under the name uncultured bacterium. RNAcentral's name for it is "partial 16S ribosomal RNA". It matches the Rfam family "Bacterial small subunit ribosomal RNA", at positions 524 to 776 of the family's 1533-position model. The record is from RNAcentral.